GUCCAGCUAGCUCAGUUGGUAGCGCAUGGGAUUAUUGAUCUCAGGAUUGUGGGUUUGAGCCCCAUGCUGGGUG
Molecule: transfer RNA, 73 nt
Filed under: Pangasianodon gigas (Mekong giant catfish)
Lineage: Eukaryota; Metazoa; Chordata; Actinopteri; Siluriformes; Pangasiidae
Description: tRNA-Asn
Rfam family: tRNA
About the family: Transfer RNA (tRNA) molecules are approximately 80 nucleotides in length.
Source: RNAcentral